CCUACGGGUGGCAGCAGUGGGGAAUCUUGCACAAUGGGGGAAACCCUGAUGCAGCGACGCCGCGUGAGCGAUGAAGCCCUUCGGGGUGUAAAGCUCUUUCGGCAGGAACGAUAAUGACGGUACCUGCAGAAGAAGCUGCGGCUAACUACGUGCCAGCAGCCGCGGUAAUACGUAGGCAGCAAGCGUUGUUCGGAAUUACUGGGCGUAAAGAGUGUGUAGGUGGUGUCGUAAGUUUGGUGUGAAAUCUCCCGGCUUAACUGGGAGGGUGCGCCGAAGACUGCGAUGCUUGAGUAUGGGAGAGGAAAGCGGAAUUCCUGGUGUAGCGGUGAAAUGCGUAGAUAUCAGGAGGAACACCUGCGGUGUAGACGGCUUUCUGGACCAUUACUGACACUGAGACACGAAAGCGUGGGUAGCAAACAGGAUUAGAUACCCCUGUAGUC
Molecule: ribosomal RNA, 440 nt
Filed under: uncultured bacterium
Lineage: Bacteria
Description: bacterial SSU rRNA
Rfam family: Bacterial small subunit ribosomal RNA
Source: RNAcentral